UAAUAGUGUAUAUUAAAGUUGUUGCAGUUAAAAAGCUCGUAGUUGAAUGUUUGUGUCGAACGAGCGGUCAGCUUCGGCUGUACUGCUCUCUCGACUCCUUCCUUCUGUGGACUACGUCGCACUUUACUGUGUGGCGCUAGGACGCAGAUCGUUUACUGUGAAAAAAUUAGAGUGUUCAAAGCAGGCCGUACGCUUGAAUACAUUAGCAUGGAAUAAUGGAAUAGGACGUCGGGCCUAUUUUGUUGGUUCUAGGACCGUCGUAAUGAUUAAUAGGGACAGUUGGGGCCGUUUAUAUUCCGUAGUCAGAGGUGAAAUUCUUGGAUUUACGGAAGAUAAACUACUGCGAAAGCAUUCGGCAAGGAUGUUUUCGUUAA
Molecule: ribosomal RNA, 374 nt
Filed under: uncultured eukaryote
Lineage: Eukaryota
Description: partial 18S ribosomal RNA
Rfam family: Eukaryotic small subunit ribosomal RNA
Source: RNAcentral